GAUCAUGGCUCAGGAUGAACGCUGGCGGCGUGCCUAAUACAUGCAAGUCGAACGCGAGCACUUGUGCUCGAGUGGCGAACGGGUGAGUAAUACAUAAGUAACCUGCCCUAGACAGGGGGAUAACUAUUGGAAACGAUAGCUAAGACCGCAUAGGUACGGACACUGCAUGGUGACCGUAUUAAAAGUGCCUCAAAGCAACUGGUAGAGGAUGGACUUAUGGCGCAUUAGCUGGG
Molecule: ribosomal RNA, 233 nt
Filed under: uncultured bacterium
Lineage: Bacteria
Description: partial 16S ribosomal RNA
Rfam family: Bacterial small subunit ribosomal RNA
Source: RNAcentral